CCUACGGGAGGCAGCAGUGGGGAAUUUUGGACAAUGGGCGCAAGCCUGAUCCAGCCAUGCCGCGUGUCUGAAGAAGGCCUUCGGGUUGUAAAGGACUUUUGUCAGGGAAGAAAGGGAGCAUGUUAAUACCGUGCUCUGAUGACGGUACCUGAAGAAUAAGCACCGGCUAACUACGUGCCAGCAGCCGCGGUAAUACGUAGGGUGCGAGCGUUAAUCGGAAUUACUGGGCGUAAAGCGGGCGCAGACGGUUACUUAAGCGGGAUGUGAAAUCCCCGGGCUCAACCCGGGAACUGCGUUCCGAACUGGGUGGCUAGAGUGUGUCAGAGGGGGGUAGAAUUCCACGUGUAGCAGUGAAAUGCGUAGAGAUGUGGAGGAAUACCGAUGGCGAAGGCAGCCCCCUGGGAUAACACUGACGUUCAUGCCCGAAAGCGUGGGUAGCAAACAGGAUUAGAUACCCCUGUAGUC
RNAcentral lists this ribosomal RNA (465 nucleotides) under uncultured Neisseria sp. RNAcentral describes it as "bacterial SSU rRNA". It matches the Rfam family "Bacterial small subunit ribosomal RNA", at positions 338 to 795 of the family's 1533-position model. Lineage: Bacteria; Pseudomonadati; Pseudomonadota; Betaproteobacteria; Neisseriales; Neisseriaceae. The record is from RNAcentral.